Ananas comosus (pineapple) is the source of this 238-nucleotide long non-coding RNA. RefSeq lists it as uncharacterized. The record is from RefSeq and is a predicted model, not a curated record. NCBI's taxonomy places the organism in Eukaryota, Viridiplantae, Streptophyta, Magnoliopsida, Poales, Bromeliaceae. The transcript has 4 exons.
GUAUUCGAGCUUCGCUGAGCCGAACUUGUACUCUUAGAAGCUGAUUUGGAAGCUGCUCUAAUCAAGGCGAGAUCGCAAUCGAGCCUUGGAUUGUCUUCGACUGCCUUGUGAGGACUCUUGGAGGUUACACUUGAGCAGGAUUGAGACCUAGUGGAGCUGAUCUUUGGAACUUCUUGUGACUAUUGGAGCUUAGUACUAGAGCCAUCUGCAGGAGAGGCUAGGGAUCGUGGCAAGGGAG